This 447-nucleotide ribosomal RNA is filed under the name uncultured bacterium. RNAcentral describes it as "bacterial SSU rRNA". It matches the Rfam family "Bacterial small subunit ribosomal RNA", at positions 355 to 825 of the family's 1533-position model. The record is from RNAcentral.
UCGGGAAUUUUGGGCAAUGGGCGAAAGCCUGACCCAGCAACGCCGCGUGAAGGAUGAAGUAUUUCGGUAUGUAAACUUCGAAAGAAUAGGAAGAAUAAAUGACGGUACUAUUUAUAAGGUCCGGCUAACUACGUGCCAGCAGCCGCGGUAAUACGUAGGGACCAAGCGUUGUUCGGAUUUACUGGGCGUAAAGGGCGCGUAGGCGGCAAUUCAAGUCAUCUGUGAAAUCUCCGGGCUUAACUCGGAACGGUCAGAUGAUACUGCUUUGCUAGAGUGCAGAAGGGGCAAUCGGAAUUCUUGGUGUAGCGGUGAAAUGCGUAGAUAUCAAGAGGAACACCUGAGGUGAAGACGGGUUGCUGGGCUAACACUGACGCUCAUGCACGAAAGCGUGGGGAGCAAACAGGAUUAGAUACCCACGUAGUCCCUGAGCGGGCUGGCAAGGCGCAU